UCAAGCUACUAAGAGCGCACAGAGGAUGACUUGGUAUCAGGAGCCGAAGAAGGACGUGAUAAGCUGCGAAAAGCUACGGGUAGACGCAAAUAGUCAGAGAACCGUAGAUGUCCGAAUGGGGAAACCCACAUAGCGAGAGGCUAUGUAUCCAAUAAUGAAUAAAUAGUUAUUGGAAGGUAAACGUAGGGAACUGAAACAUCUAAGUACCUACAGGAAGAGAAAGAAAAAUCGAUUCCCUAAGUAGUGGCGAGCGAAAGGGGAAGAGCCCAAACCUAAGGAAACUUAGGGGUUGAGGGAGUCUAUAAUCGAGAGAGUAAAUUAGAUGAAUAUAGUUAUGGAAAUCUAAGCCGAAGAGUGUAAAAGCCACGUAAUUUAAAAUUGAAAUUGAGAGAGACUAACCCAGAGUACCACGAGACACGAGGAACCUUGUGGGAAGCAGGGUGGACCACCACCCAAGGCUAAAUACUACCUGAUGACCGAUAGAGAAGGAGUACCGUGAGGGAAAGGUGAAAAGAACCCCGGGAGGGGAGUGAAAUAGAACCUGAAACUGUGUGCUUACAACCGCUCAGAGCACGUAAUAGGUGUGAUGAGGUGCUUUUUGUAGAACGAGCCAACGAGUUACGAUGUGUGGCGAGAUUAAGGUCUUAAGGACUGAAGUCGAAGAGAAAUCGAGUGUUAAUAGCGCGAAUAGUCGCAUGUCGUAGACCCGAAACCGGGUGACCUAUCCAUGAUCAGGUUGAAGCGAAGGUAAAACUUCGUGGAGGACCGAACCACGUUGGUGUUGAAAAACCAUGGGAUGAAUUGUGGAUAGCGGAGAAAUUCCAAUCGAACUCGGAGAUAGCUGGUUCUCCCCGAAAUAGCUUUAGGGCUAGCGUUAAUGUAUAGAAUAUAGGAGGUAGAGCACUAAAUGGGCUAGGGGCCGUGAGGUUACCGAACCUUAUUAAACUCCGAAUGCCUAUAUUUGUUAAUUAGCAGUCAGUCUAAGAGUGAUAAGAUUCUUGGACAAAAGGGAAAAAGCCCAGAUCACCAGCUAAGGUCCCAAAGUAUGAGUUAAGUGGUAAAGGAUGUGGAGAUUCUAAGACAACUAGGAUGUUGGCUUAGAAGCAGCCAUUCAUUUAAAGAGUGCGUAAUAGCUCACUAGUCGAGAGUUUCUGCGCCGAAGAUAAACGGGGCUCAAACUCAUCACCGAAGCUGUGGAAUGGAAACAUUGGUAGGGGAGCGUCGUAUAAGAGAGGAAGCUAAAGCGGAAGCAAUAGUGGAUUUUAUACGAGAGAGAAUGUUGGCAUAAGUAGCGAGAAUUAGGUGAGAAUCCUAAUGGUCGAAAGCCUAAGGUUUCCUGGGGAAGGUUCGUCCGCCCAGGGUAAGUCGGGACCUAAGCUGAGGUCGAAAGGCGUAAGUGAUGGACAAUCGGUAGAUAUUCCGAUACCACUAAUUAUUGAAUGAUCGAUGGAGGGAAGCAGAAGGAUAGGAUAGCCAACCCAAUGGACAUGGUUGGUCUAAGAGAAGAGAUAGUAUGUAGAGGCAAAUCCAUACAUACGAAGUUGAUUCUUUAUGGGGAGACGAAUGAGUCGAAGUAUCUGAGUUCACGCUGACGAGAAAAACUUCUAGGUAGAUAAUUAGUGCCCGUACCACAAACCGACACAGGUAGGCGAGGUGAGAAUCCAAAGACCAGCGGAAGAAUUGCAGUUAAGGAACUCGGCAAAUUGACCCCGUAACUUAGGGAGAAGGGGUACCAUAGAGAUAUGGUCGCAGAGAAUAGGCCCAAGCAACUGUUUAUCAAAAACACAGGUCUCUGCAAAAGCGAAAGCUUAAGUAUAGGGGCUGACGCCUGCCCGGUGCUGGAAGGUUAAGGGGAGCUGUUAUCGCAAGAGAAGCAGUGAACUUAAGCCCCAGUAAACGGCGGCCGUAACUAUAACGGUCCUAAGGUAGCGAAAUUCCUUGUCAGGUAAGUUCUGACCCGCACGA
RNAcentral lists this ribosomal RNA (1965 nucleotides) under feces metagenome. Its description in RNAcentral is "bacterial LSU rRNA". It matches the Rfam family "Bacterial large subunit ribosomal RNA", at positions 3 to 1995 of the family's 2925-position model. The record is from RNAcentral.